GUCCUAUAUGUUCCGCAUUUCUUUUAGUAAUAUAUUUUUUUUUUGAUAAGUCAAAUAAAUUAAAUAUAUUUGUGGAAAUCAGAAAAUAAAAUAUCCAAAAAUUAAGGUGGAAGACGUGUUGAAGUAUCUCAUAGUGUAGUCCCAGUAUAAUUGACAAUAGCUUACCAUCCAAUCUGUUGCACCACUGGGUUCUAUAUAAAUAUGUGAAAUCUUAAGAGAGAGCAAGGUAUAUAUAUCAUCUGCUAGCAAUAAUGUAUUCUACUUCAAUUCACAUGAUUCUAAAGUUUGUAUUGGUAUAAAUGCUAGUUGCCUAGCUUGCAAUUUAAGGUUAACAGCUAAAAUAAAAAUUUUGUUUUCUUGGUCGUAAUAAAAAAUAUUAUUUAUGGUGGCAGAAUCUUCAGAACAAGGACAGAAAAUAGUAAAGGCUCAGGUAGAGUCUGAUCCCCAGUAG
Molecule: long non-coding RNA, 451 nt
Filed under: Elaeis guineensis (African oil palm)
Lineage: Eukaryota; Viridiplantae; Streptophyta; Magnoliopsida; Arecales; Arecaceae
Description: long non-coding RNA (EGUI_LNC001431)
Source: RNAcentral